AAAGAUGAAGUAUUAUUAAGUUACAUCUCAGUUACAUUGAGAAGAUCCAUGAUUUUUGGCGUCUUUAU
This 68-nucleotide transfer RNA is filed under the name Tritonia tetraquetra. RNAcentral's name for it is "tRNA-Val". The record is from RNAcentral. Lineage: Eukaryota; Metazoa; Mollusca; Gastropoda; Nudibranchia; Tritoniidae.